RNAcentral lists this small nucleolar RNA (109 nucleotides) under Stereum hirsutum FP-91666 SS1. Its description in RNAcentral is "Small nucleolar RNA Z13/snr52". It matches the Rfam family "Small nucleolar RNA Z13/snr52". Rfam says of the family: Z13 or snr52 is a member of the C/D class of snoRNA which contain the C (UGAUGA) and D (CUGA) box motifs. Most of the members of the box C/D family function in directing site-specific 2'-O-methylation of substrate RNAs. Lineage: Eukaryota; Fungi; Basidiomycota; Agaricomycetes; Russulales; Stereaceae. The record is from Rfam by way of RNAcentral.
UUCGAACCAAAGAUGAAACCAAUACGGAUGUAAACGAGCACAGCUCGGUUGUCCGAGAGCGCAUAAACCCCAUGUGGAUAUCCCGUUGCCUUCCUUCUGACCUUCUCUC